Molecule: long non-coding RNA, 1027 nt
Organism: Myxocyprinus asiaticus (Chinese sucker)
Lineage: Eukaryota; Metazoa; Chordata; Actinopteri; Cypriniformes; Catostomidae
Exons: 3
Source: RefSeq, a predicted model, not a curated record
AAACAGAUAUACCAUCAAACCACUCUAUUAGAACCAAAUGAUUUCAGACACAUUUUACAGAAAUCCCUUCAAUAAGGACUGCAUAUUUUCAAUGCUGUAAAUAUUUUACAGGGGUCUGGCGUGGUACCACAAUCUUCAAAGCCCAGCUGUCAAAGUUUCAAGGUCUAAAUCAUUUUCUCUGCAACCCAAAAUCUGUGGUAGACAUUUCCAUUGUUUAGAGUGUUCAAUAGUCAACCCAUAUACCAUGAAAGUUUUAAGACUCUCCCUUCAGUCCUGUUUCUUUAACCAUUAAUCAAAUGACCGAAAAUAGCACACAGAUAGAGUGUUGUUCGCAGAGAGGGGCAGAAGGGGUGGAAAAUGAGAGGAAAACAUUUCAAGUGUACCUAGAGACUACAGAGCAUUAGACAUUAAUUCUAUUUUGGACACUCAGCCUAAGGAAAGGGCAAUAUACCGUUCAGCAGUUUUUGAAAUCAAUCUUCACAAUGCCUCUCGAUCCAGGACACAUCCAGUCAAUACAGUUAUGUUCAUUUAUGAGUCUCCUCUGGAAUAUUUUCAUGGCACUUAGCGGUUUCCAGACAAAGAGGGGCCAUUGGUUUAAAACACAUCAUUAGCUGAAAAGUCUGGAUCUCCUUCAACAGAGCUGACACUUCCAGACUCAUGUUCCUGAUUGACAGACGGCAGCCUCACUGACAUCACUCUGACAUCACUUCCUCGCCCUUCUGUGUGUAGAAAAAUGUCUUCACCUGUGGGAAAACAGGUAGAAUCAACAUUUAAAUACAGCUGCUGUUGGUAGAUUUGAACUUUUCACAAAGGAAUCUCACAAACUCCGAUCGCAAACGGCUGUUUUUCAUUUAUAAAAGUGCAACCUCUGUGACAGAAGUGUGACCAAAUAUGAUCAAAUGUCCAAUUUAUAUAAAUAAGACCACCAUGCAAGAUCUAACAGGAUGAACCGGACCCCACCUGCCCCACCGCAGAGCAAACUGGCUGUUUGUGAAAGGAAAGGAUAUGCAAAUAAAAAUAAUGUAAA